CCUGGAUGCAGCGACGCCGCGUGGAGUGGAAGAAGUAUUUCGGUAUGUAAAGCUCUAUCAGCAGGGAAGAAAAUGACGGUACCUGGACUAAGAAGCCCCGGCUAACUACGCUGCCCGCAGCCGCGGUAAU
Molecule: ribosomal RNA, 130 nt
Filed under: uncultured bacterium
Lineage: Bacteria
Description: partial 16S ribosomal RNA
Rfam family: Bacterial small subunit ribosomal RNA
Source: RNAcentral